Long non-coding RNA from Neodiprion virginianus, 1580 nucleotides. RefSeq lists it as uncharacterized. NCBI's taxonomy places the organism in Eukaryota, Metazoa, Arthropoda, Insecta, Hymenoptera, Diprionidae. The transcript has 3 exons. The record is from RefSeq and is a predicted model, not a curated record.
AAUCGCACGCAGUGCGGUCACUUACUUUGAAAGAUUGAGUCACUGCGUAAGCUCGGCAAAACCGCACUCAAAAAUCACAAGUUCUCCCUACCCGGCAAGCAGCAGAUGCGGUGUGCCGGGGCACCGCAAACGAGGACGACUUGUGCACUAGAAUUUUGAUAACCCUUGGAGACUUGCGUCGAUUCGGCAUGAUUGGUUGGCGAGUUGUUGAAAAUCGAGACAAACGACAAAAAUUCCUCGGAUAUUCAGAAUCGCACCGAUUCUGCUGCAGGACUGCGCAACCGCAAACGACUCGGAUGGUGUUCAAGAUAAAACUGAGUUGAAUCUCCUGGCCCUGGAGCGGGAUCGGGGGCGAGACAAACGCUGCGCAAAGCACGUGGUGAUGUCGUAUACGCGCCCUCGCGGCGACGCUUUUUACACGGAGAAUUCAACGACUUGUCGACUGCAAGUUUGAUAUACGCCUAUACACAUGCGGUACAGUCCAUACAUGUACGAAUUCGUACGUAACUCGGGGUUCUCGGGAUCGGCUUCGACGCAGGAGUGCAAUGGAUAGUUUUUUUCUACCUGAUGCGUCGCAAACGUGCAUGGGAAGUUGCGCAUAAAGCAGGUGUCUAAGCCCUGGAGAAUCACGUUUUCUCAGUAUUUUCACAUAUUACACAAAGUUGAAUCGAGAAGCUUAUUUAUGCAUCAUAUCAUUCGAGAGCCGGUGCCGCGAUACAAUGGAUACCAGCACUACGAUUUUGUCUAAUAUUACACUUUGGCAAAAUUAAGCAUCACGUAUUAACGUUAUAUAUAUACUUAAUAUAUUGUGUACGUUACUCGGUAAAUGUCGCAGAGCUGCGGUGAACAAAGUUCUGAGAUCCGAUAGCGUUAUAUUGUACCUAUAAUACCUAGAAUAAGUUCAAUUUAUACAUGAGAUUUUGUGUAACAAGCCCAUUGCCAGGAUAUCCUGGUCCAGUUUAAUAAGAUUUAAUGAUAAGGUGAAAAAUAGUAUAUCGUGGAUACGGUUGAUUGCAUGUAGUUUAUUCAUAAACGACAAUAUAGUGGCAGAUAAAUGCCAGCGGAUGUGAGAUAUCCACGGACUGAAGAUAAGACGAAAAUUUUCGGGGUCGUAUUCAUAAUAUUGUACAUGAAUAUAUGCAUGGAAGGUCCAACCUACUCGUUAAUAUAAUCUCAGUCGGAAUUCUAUGAACCGUUUGGCACUUUAUCUCGAUCACUCAUACGUACUGCAUCGGGCAUAUAAUGAGCAACAGUCGAGAUUAUACGGGGUACAUGGUACAAACGAAUGCUACGAAUGACAAAUUACCGCAAGAAUACAUCUGCAGAUAUAUCUGCUCCUGCAACAUAUACCCCGAUCCCUACCUACCUACACUUUUGAGUUUCACACAAGCAGAGUUUAUCCCAUUCUCUAACUUUACAAUUUCAAUGUACAUCUGCGGCUUACGUAGGCUUACUUUUCUAACAACCGCUGGCUAAUUGUAAGAACUACAAGGACAUUUCUGGUGACUAACCGGAAGUAUUAUAAGGAAUUAAUUUUGGAAAAUAGAUAUGAUGAGAAAAGAAUAUAAGUGCUUAUUAAA